This 1555-nucleotide long non-coding RNA is filed under the name Sus scrofa (pig). Its description in RNAcentral is "lncRNA (ENSSSCG00055010378.1)". The record is from RNAcentral. Lineage: Eukaryota; Metazoa; Chordata; Mammalia; Artiodactyla; Suidae.
AAGACCACGAAGAAGCAGCCCCUUCGCUUCUCCCGACCCGCUUCUCUAACGCAGAAGUGCGGCAAAGGCCCCGCUGAGCGCGGUUCAGGUGACUCUGAGACUGUUUAGAUUAGUUAAGGGGGGGUAAGCUGCCCUCGGCUCUACAUUGUAUUUCCAAGUUUGAUGCCUACAUCCAGUUCCCAAAUUGAACUUCCAGAUCCCGGAUUCGAAACUACCGGCUCCCAGAGUUGCCAGUUCGAAUCUAACAGCUGUCUGUACUCUGAUUUCCCCGACCUUCCCAGCGCUCCAAGUUCAAAUUCCAACCCCAACCGAAGUUCCCAGGCGACUCCUCCAGACCCUGGUCCACUAGCAAACCUUCCCCUGAUCUCGACUUCGAGUUUCCUCUGCGCCUCGGAAGGAUUGGGGUGGGGAUGGCGAAAAUGGGGACACCUCGCCUCUAAUUCCGCACAAGGGACUCAGGGCUGGGGGUAAAGUGGUGUGGACCGAAGCGGAGGCGCGGCAGAGGGAAGCAGUGACCCGGCCGGNNCCCGCCUCUAAACUUAGCCGCCGUGACGCGCGGCCGGGCUAUCGCGGCGGGGCCGGGGACGCAGGGGGGCCGGAGCGGAGGGGGAGCGGCUCCGCUCCGUGAGCCUCUAUUUAUAGCGCCCGGAACCCGAAAUAGCGAGGAGCGGAGCGGCCGGGAUGACGCGGAAGCCGCCGGGGACUGACUCACCCGGGCCCCGAGCGGCGGCCCCCGGAUGGGGGACAGUGGAGGCGCCUGGACCGGACCCCCGCCAUCCCGGACACUUCUUCUGCCUGGACAUCCCAAGUUUCCACGUGGCACUGUGGAUGGAUAUGCAGCCAAAGGAGGAGCUGCAGCAUGAGACCGAGGUUCGCGGUGCUAAGGGCCAUCCCUCACAAAUUAAACUCUGGGCCUUGCUGGAUGGGGAGCCCUUUGAAGGCAGAGCCAGGCCCUUCUCGGUCAUCGCCAUGUCCCCAGCACUGACCAGCACAAGACUGGCCUCUGGAGAAACUAACUGCAUGAAUAAAAAGUGGUAAUAAAAUAAAAUGGUGUUUCCCAAGCUACUAACAGCAAAAUGUUUACUGUACACUGCAUGCCAGAUGUAAUUUGAGGAGGAAUCUAAGGGUCUUGCUAUAACCUUAGGAUGGAGGUACUUUUAUUAUUUUCAUCGGUACCAUAUUCAUGUUUUUUGUUUUGGUUUGGAGAGUUUUUGGUUUUUGGUUUUUGGUUUGUUUGUCUUUUUAGGGCCGAACUUGUGACAUAUGUAGGUUCCCAGGCCAAGGGUCAAAUCAGAGCUGGAGCUGCAGCUGCAGCUGCUGACCUAUGCCACAGCCACACCAAUGCCAGAUGCAAGCCACAACUGCGACCUACGCCACAGUUUGCAGCAAUGCGGGAUCCUUAGCCCAAUGAGCAAGGCCAGCUAUCAAACCUGCAUCUUCAUGGAUACCAGACGGGUUCUUAACCCACUGAUCCACAGUGGGAACUCCAAUCUCCAUGUGAGAGAUGAAGAAACGAGAAUAUCUGAGAAUAGCUGAGCUCACCCUGCUUGCAGUC